Molecule: long non-coding RNA, 1117 nt
Filed under: Olea europaea subsp. europaea
Lineage: Eukaryota; Viridiplantae; Streptophyta; Magnoliopsida; Lamiales; Oleaceae
Source: RNAcentral
AUGUAAUGUUCCCGUCUUUUAAUGCUACAAAGUACAAACCUACUUAGAAACCCUAGCGACUUCACUACCAAAUCCCAAUUCCCAGAGCCUCCGCAUUCCUUCAAACUCCGUUUACUCAUUCGUCUGCGAAAAGUGCGAGAUGUCGUCGAAGGUUAUAGUGCCAGUCAAAUAGAAACGGUCGUACAACUUCACUGAUGGCAGCGAUAAGAAGAUCAACAAGAACAAGCUCCUCUAUUUAACUCGAGCUAUAUUCUGUACAAAAAAUCUCCAUCUCCUCAUACACCCAUGGUAUAUCUCCUAUUUUCUUCUUUAACUUGCAGAUUAACAUAUUUUUUGAUUUCAUUUUCUGAUAAAGUGACCAUCUUGUAUUUUUGGUUCUUAUAUAUUUGGAUCCAGAUUCAAGCCGCGGUAUAGUCGGAUGGGCUUCGAAGGCAUUUUCUACGGCUGUAUUUUUGCUGUAUGAGCAUGUUGCGGAACGUUUGAAACCUCAACUUUUCAAUUAUCUUUCGGUUUCUCUAUUUCUAUUGCUGACAUUGCCCGUAUACUCGUUCCUGUGCUUUCACUUUAAUUCCUAGCUUCUAAGGAAACUUGGUUUGUUAGUACUAUAAUCGCUUUACAUAUUCAUGCUGUUCAACAUAUUCAUCCAGAUGAUGCUUUGGGUAACAGAUGAUUAGAAAUCUGGAAGUACUUCUGCCUCCUUUUUGCACCACAGGAAAAUAAAAAUAGAUUUAGUGAUGAGUGAAAAAAUUCCUUUGAUUUUAUUAUUUUUUCAUGACCAUCCGUCAAAGAAUAAGAAUGGUUAUGACUUGAUUAUCUAAACUAUCAAAAAACAACAACAAAAAACUAAGCCUCCAUUUACACCCCACCUCCCCCCCCCCCCACCAAUUAUUUGGAUUUAUAAUGGUGGAAUAGGUUUUUUUUUUUUAAAUGAAAAAUUUUCGAUUUACGUGUAAUAUUAUUUUAUUGAAGAUUGUGUGGUUGAAAAUAAAAGAGAGCAAAAUUUAAAUUAAAUUAAAUUGAUGAAUUUUAAAGGGAUCAAACGGGAUCUUAGAAAAGAAUAGUAGUAACUAUCGAGAUACUUUUUUAGGGAAAUUAUCAAGUGUACAGGGGAUUUUAU